CCUACGGGGGGCUGCAGUGGGGAAUAUUGGACAAUGGGCGAAAGCCUGAUCCAGCCAUGCCGCGUGUGUGAAGAAGGCCUUCGGGUUGUAAAGCACUUUCAGUGGGGAAGAAAGCCUUGGGGCGAAUACCCUCGAGGAAGGACAUCACCCACAGAAGAAGCACCGGCUAACUCCGUGCCAGCAGCCGCGGUAAUACGGAGGGUGCGAGCGUUAAUCGGAAUUACUGGGCGUAAAGCGCGCGUAGGCGGUCUGAUAAGCCGGUUGUGAAAGCCCCGGGCUCAACCUGGGAACGGCAUCCGGAACUGUCAGGCUAGAGUGCAGGAGAGGAAGGUAGAAUUCCCGGUGUAGCGGUGAAAUGCGUAGAGAUCGGGAGGAAUACCAGUGGCGAAGGCGGCCUUCUGGACUGACACUGACGCUGAGGUACGAAAGCGUGGGUAGCAAACAGGAUUAGAUACCCCGGUAGUC
RNAcentral lists this ribosomal RNA (465 nucleotides) under Vreelandella stevensii. RNAcentral's name for it is "partial 16S ribosomal RNA". It matches the Rfam family "Bacterial small subunit ribosomal RNA", at positions 338 to 795 of the family's 1533-position model. Lineage: Bacteria; Pseudomonadati; Pseudomonadota; Gammaproteobacteria; Oceanospirillales; Halomonadaceae. The record is from RNAcentral.